This is a long non-coding RNA of Triticum dicoccoides, 389 nucleotides long. RefSeq lists it as uncharacterized. Lineage: Eukaryota; Viridiplantae; Streptophyta; Magnoliopsida; Poales; Poaceae. The transcript has 4 exons. The record is from RefSeq and is a predicted model, not a curated record.
UUUCUUCAAAGUGUAAAUCUGUUGUUCAAGCUUCAAAUGUAUCUUGUUUAUUAUCUUUCCUUUUAUGCAAACUAAUGGACCAUAUUUCUACUCAAACAGAGGCAAAGACGUCUUCUUAAUGUUGCAGAAGUUUGGAGGCAUCAAGGAAUGCAUCCUCCUCUUGCUAUGCAAACUGAGGAAAUCAAAGUGAUGGGAAAGCAUUGUACAACAGCUGUUGACUUCAGGAUAUUUCAUGGAUGAGUUAUACUCCUUGACUCCCAUGAGUGUAUCAUCCGCUUGCUAUGCAAACUGAGGAAAUCAAAGUGGCAAAGCAAUUGACUGCAUGUGUUGACUUCAGGAUAUCUCAAGGACGAGUUAGAAUCUGUGACGCUCAGGGAUGCAUCCUCUGC